GUUUCCUACGGGGGGCAGCAGUGAGGAAUAUUGGUCAAUGGACGAGAGCCUGAACCAGCCAAGUCGCGUGAGGGAAGACGGUCCUAUGGAUUGUAAACCUCUUUUGUCGGGGAGCAAAAGACGCCACGCGUGGCGUUCCGAGAGUACCCGAAGAAAAAGCAUCGGCUAACUCCGUGCCAGCAGCCGCGGUAAUACGGAGGAUGCGAGCGUUAUCCGGAUUUAUUGGGUUUAAAGGGUGCGCAGGCGGAAGGUCAAGUCAGCGAUAAAAUUGAGAGGCUCAACCUC
RNAcentral lists this ribosomal RNA (285 nucleotides) under uncultured bacterium. RNAcentral describes it as "partial 16S ribosomal RNA". It matches the Rfam family "Bacterial small subunit ribosomal RNA", at positions 334 to 616 of the family's 1533-position model. The record is from RNAcentral.